UGACAGGACCAUUUUGAGGGACAAUAGUA
This 29-nucleotide non-coding RNA is filed under the name Rattus norvegicus (Norway rat). The record is from RNAcentral. Lineage: Eukaryota; Metazoa; Chordata; Mammalia; Rodentia; Muridae.